CAGUCGCCGCGGUAAUACGUAGGGUGCAAGCGUUAAUCGUAAUUACUGGGCGUAAAGCGUGCGCAGGCGGUUAUAUAAGACAGAUGUGAAAUCCCCGGGCUCAACCUGGGAACUGCAUCUGUGACUGUAUAGCUAGAGUACGGCAGAGGGGGAUGGAAUUCCGCGUGUAGCAGUGAAAUGCGUAGAUAUGCGGAGGAACACCGAUGGCGAAGGCAAUCCCCUGGGCCUGUACUGACGCUCAUGCACGAAAGCUAGGGGAGCAAACAGGAUUAGAUACCCGAGUAGUCCCUGUCUCUUAUAU
This 301-nucleotide ribosomal RNA is filed under the name uncultured bacterium. RNAcentral describes it as "partial 16S ribosomal RNA". It matches the Rfam family "Bacterial small subunit ribosomal RNA", at positions 509 to 809 of the family's 1533-position model. The record is from RNAcentral.